UAUACCACAUAUAUAUCUACAUUUUUUUUUUAAUUGAGUAGAAAUAUUCUUAUUAAGUUUUAAUUAUUGAUAGUUCUUCUUUUGUUAAAUGAGAAUUUAGCCCCGAUUAUACGUUACGUAAAAACGAUAGGGCCAAACAUAAUUUAUAUAAUACAAUAUACAUAGUUUAUAGUCGAUGUAAAAUUGUUGUUUAGUCAUGGUGAAAAAAAAUCCUACGAUUCUGAUCAGAUUACGUGGCCAUCGAAGUCUCUAUAUCAUUUUACAACCACUUCCUCGCCUCCUCAUUGCGUAUAAAAGGGAAGAGAAUAUAAUGAAUACUAUAUUAAUGAAUGUCUGUUCGUGCAUUUCGUGGCUAGUUUUAGAAAUUGUUUACGGUAAACGACCAAAAAUUAUGCGUAAGACGGAAAAUAACGAAUUUUUAAAUUUAUGAUAGCAGUAAAGACAUUAGUAAGAAUUUUUCUGGGAACGAUACGAUUUAAUGGAACUUCAACAACAAAAAAUAUUUAGAUAAUUGAAUUAUAAAACUUUAAAAAUUCUACACACGAUAUAUUAAUUUUGAUUCAUUAAGUUUUUCUUUUUUUUUUUUUACAAGUUAAAAGCGAAAAUUUAUUGAAAACGUUUGCUAGAAACAUAUUGCUUAAGUUGUAGUAUGUUGUAGCUUUUAAAUUUUAUCGCUGCUUUGCUUGGCUUCUCCAAAUAGCUACGGCAUAACUGUAACUUGUGUUCUAUUUUCAUAUUCGUAAAUCUUUUAAGAUGGAUCAAAGCAAAGGUUUUAACGAUAAUUUAACGCUUAUAACGUCGACACUCUGUUUAAAAAUAAUUAUCGCACGCAAACAUCGGAAGAAAGCACCCUGCAAUAAUUAAAACUAAUUUAAUAGAAAAUAAAGUUAAUUUUUUUCUUUUUUUUUUAUUAAAGAACGUAUACGCUUAAAAGAAGAUAACCGUUAAAAAUUUUCCAAGCAACAAGGUCGACGUUGGCUAGGGGGCAAAGAUUAUCAUAACAAGCUGACAAGUUCCUGUCCCAUUCGACCCAAUUUUUGUGCUUCUACGAUGUUUAUAAGGCAGGUGAUAUGACGUCACGGCUGCGACGCUCCACUACCUAGAAUAACAACGUCGAUCUCCGCAAUGAAAAGUAAUUCUGUUAGUUUCCGGCGCUCGUCCGAUCCGGUAGAGUGAGGUGGUCGAAAAUUCAUUACGUCAUCGGUGGGGUGCCGAGCGGUGGGUUCUUCUCUAUUGUGUGUUGCUAUGGUUACGGAGAAGGGAGACCCGAGCCGGCGGAAGAAUAUGUUUGUAUUUACAGUAUGUUGGAGCACGGCGGCUUAAUGUUGCCUUUCAAGGCCGAUUGGGAAGCUUGUCAACGCCAGUUUAAACGUGGUACGAACUAUGGAAUGUGUUUCGUUUGAUAACGGUGUGACUCCUAUGUGACAGUUCGUCCCUUCGAUUUUUCCUACGUUCUGCCAUCUCGUUUUAACGUCCGGAACGACAGUGCUACAUUGAUCCAGUACAAGACUCAACUGUCACUAUGCCAAGAAGGAUAAAAAUACAGUGAUGUUGUGGUCAUAAAUUUUCAAGUCAAUGAUGCGCAGGAUUUUUAAUUAUCUGUCUCGAUAUACUGCAUACGGUUGUUUUCAUAUUUUGUACAAUAAUCCAAGGUGAGUGAUUUAUUUUUUUUUUUUUUUACUGUUAUUUUUCUAUUUUCGUAUACUGUCGAAGGCGAAAUUUACAAAAUUUAUUAAUUUUGUAAACGACGCAAUCGAAGAAUUCGGAAAUCUGAAGUCGAAACUCUUCUAGUAGGAUCUAACGAAACGCCCGGAGUUUGGAUCACUUCUGUAGCUUCCUAGUUGUUGCAAAUUUCUUCGUAUCGGAGGAUUUUCGAUAUUUUGCAACACUCGGUUUUCAAAUUACUUUGCGGUUUCUAUCGUCCACGACAGAUUUUUCGCGAUCGGCGAGAUUUGUAAGAUGUCGUAAGCACGCAACCGUACCUUUCACUCUUCUUGGAUUCAAAAUUGAAAGGAUCGCCUGGGCGUCGGUAAGAUUUUUUCGCAUUCCCCCGCAUUGCAAUGUAACUCGAGAUGCCUGAGUGCCAAGUUCUGUUAACUCGGGGGCGAAAAUUAGCGAUAAACACGUAGGCCUAAAAAUAUAAACAUCGUAAGUUUAGAUACCCACCGCCGCGAAGUUCCGGAGGACUUUGAUCCUGUUGCAAGAAUUCGCGAUAGCAGAUGCAAGUCGAACCAUCGUACAUUCAGGUACACAUAUCUGUAUUAAAUCGGAAAAAAAAAGUCAUUUAGAAUAAAUUUCAGCAACGAAUUAUCAGAAUUAAAAUUUAUUUUACAGCUUGAAGGGUGUCUGAAUUCGGAAAGGACGUAAAUGUAGUUAACCGUCUUAGAUAAUCGAUUUUUAUUAUUUAAAUUGAUGUUUUCUGAUGCACUUAAUAUAGUUUAUAUAUAUAUAAACUUAUAUAUAACCUCAGUAGCUAUGAAAAGCGGCAAGAUUGAGUUAUACAGGACGAUAGCACGAGUAGAUGAAUAUUGACAGUAGACGUCACCGUCCUUAUUAGCAUCUUACAGAGGAAGUGAUACGUCAAUAAAUUUAAUGCAGUUAAUAACGCAACAAAAGAGGGGGAAGCACAAUCGAGAAAAUCGAAAUUUGUAUCGAUUUUUUCGAGUUUUAUAAUUAAUCAAGAACGAUCAUAGUCAUAACAAAGCUAUUAGAGGAAUAAAAAAAAACACCCAUCUAGCUAAAGUAAUCCUAAUAAAGAUACUGAAAACGUUCCAGUUUAACCUUGAGACAGUUUUAUGACAUGAAACAUAUAGAAAUUAGAGAAGUACCUUUACCUUUCUCAUUAAUUUUCAUUUUUUUCUUCCCUUCCUCUGGGGUUGGACGUUCCGAACUAUUCAGAAAAUUAUUUGGACCAGUCUAAAUUUUGCUAAUUUGGUUAAAAACUCCCUUUUAAAACGUUCAAAUCUACUCAGUUUUUUUUAAUUAUUAUUUUUAAAUAAUUAGAUAUUGUUAAAACAGCAAUGUCGAUAUAGGCG
Molecule: long non-coding RNA, 3035 nt
Filed under: Androctonus crassicauda
Lineage: Eukaryota; Metazoa; Arthropoda; Arachnida; Scorpiones; Buthidae
Source: RNAcentral